RNAcentral lists this ribosomal RNA (471 nucleotides) under uncultured bacterium. Its description in RNAcentral is "bacterial SSU rRNA". It matches the Rfam family "Bacterial small subunit ribosomal RNA", at positions 8 to 523 of the family's 1533-position model. The record is from RNAcentral.
AGAGUUUGAUCCUGGCUCAGAACGAACGCUGGCGGCAGGCUUAACACAUGCAAGUCGAACGCGUGUAGCAAUACACGAGUGGCGCACGGGUGAGUAACGCGUGGAUAUCUGCCUUUUGGUUCGGAAUAACUCCGGGAAACUGGAGCUAAUACCGGAUGGUUCCUACGGGAUAAAGAUUCAUCGCCAAAAGAUGAGUCCGCGUACGAUUAGCUAGUUGGUGAGGUAAUGGCUCACCAAGGCGACGAUCGUUAGCUGGUCUGAGAGGACGAUCAGCCACACUGGGACUGAGACACGGCCCAGACUCCUACGGGAGGCAGCAGUGGGGAAUAUUGGACAAUGGGGGCAACCCUGAUCCAGCCAUGCCGCGUGAGUGAUGAAGGCCUUCGGGUUGUAAAGCUCUUUUGGCGGGGACGAUGAUGACGGUACCCGCAGAAUAAGCCCCGGCUAACUUCGUGCCAGCAGCCGCGGUAA